RNAcentral lists this ribosomal RNA (255 nucleotides) under uncultured bacterium. RNAcentral's name for it is "partial 16S ribosomal RNA". It matches the Rfam family "Bacterial small subunit ribosomal RNA", at positions 524 to 776 of the family's 1533-position model. The record is from RNAcentral.
UACGUAGGGUGCGAGCGUUAAUCGGAAUUACUGGGCGUAAAGCGUGCGCAGGCGGUUUUGUAAGCCAGAUGUGAAAUCCCCGGGUUUAACCUGGGAAUGGCAUUUGGGACUGCAAGGCUUGAGUGCGGCAGAGGAGACUGGAAUUCCUGGUGUAGCAGUGAAAUGCGUAGAUAUCAGGAGGAACACCGAGUGGCGAAGGCAGGUCUCUGGGCUGACACUGACGCUCAUGCACGAAAGGCGUGGGGAGCAAACAGG